UUUUAAUCCACUAACACCUAUGGAUUUAAUGCCUUUGCCUAUGCAUGAACGAGGUAGCUUGGAUGGGAAACGAAAAGCCGAGAUGGUGAAAACACUCCAUGAAAAGGUCAGGAUGCAGAUCGAAGAGAAAGGAAAGCGGAUUGCAUCAAAAGCAAAUAAAGGAAGAAGACGCGUUACAUUUGAGCCUGGAGAUUGGGUUUGGGUGCAUUUCAUAAAAGAGUGUUUUCCAGAACAGAGGAAGUCAAAAUUGCAACCACGAGGCGAUGGACCUUUUCAAAUCAUCGAGAGGAUCAAUGACGAUGCAUACAAAGUGGAUUUACCAGGUGAGUACAAUGUUUCAGCUACUUUUAAUGCAUCUGACCUCUCUCUGUUUGAUGCAGGUUCAGAUUCAAGGAUGAAUCCUUUUGAAGAGGGAGGGGAUGAUUUGAUCUAGGAGUCGAGCCCGACGAAGGCAAGUGCGAGACGAGACCCGUUGAUAGUCGAUGGCGGACCAAUGACGCGAUCAAGGGCAAAGUAAGUGAAACAAGCGAUGGGAUUGCUCGUUCAAGAAUCCAUUGAUGGAACCAUGUUCGGGACUCAAAAUGGAGCAACUUUCAUGUUCGGGUCGAAGGCCGAAUUGACUUGGAUCAAUUUGUUAUCAAGCGACGAAAGCAGAGGCAGAAAACAACAACAUGCGAUCGCACAGGCAAAACUCCACGCGGCCGCACACAUGGUUCCCGAAAACCAAAAGUGCAAUUUCAGU
Molecule: long non-coding RNA, 742 nt
Filed under: Olea europaea subsp. europaea
Lineage: Eukaryota; Viridiplantae; Streptophyta; Magnoliopsida; Lamiales; Oleaceae
Source: RNAcentral